RNAcentral lists this ribosomal RNA (675 nucleotides) under uncultured bacterium. RNAcentral's name for it is "bacterial SSU rRNA". It matches the Rfam family "Bacterial small subunit ribosomal RNA", at positions 94 to 803 of the family's 1533-position model. The record is from RNAcentral.
AGUGGCGAACGGGUGAGUAACACGUGGGCACCUGCCCCUGACUCUGGGAUAACUACUCGAAAGAGUAGCUAAUACCGGAUAUGGAGACACCUUGAAAGUUUUUCGGUCAGGGAUGGGCCCGCGGCCUAUCAGCUAGUUGGUGAGGUAGUGGCUCACCAAGGCGACGACGGGUAGCCGGCCUGAGAGGGCGACCGGCCACACUGGGACUGAGACACGGCCCAGACUCCUACGGGAGGCAGCAGUGGGGAAUAUUGCGCAAUGGGCGAAAGCCUGACGCAGCAACGCCGCGUGCGGGAUGAAGGCCUUCGGGUUGUAAACCGCUUUCAGCAGGGAAGAAGCGAAAGUGACGGUACCUGCAGAAGAAGCACCGGCUAACUACGUGCCAGCGGCCGCGGUAAUACGUAGGGUGCAAGCGUUGUCCGGAUUUAUUGGGCGUAAAGAGCUCGUAGGCGGUUAGUCACGUCGGAUGUGAAAACUCAGUGCUUAACACUGAGCCUGCAUUCGAUACGGGCUGACUAGAGUAUUGUAGGGGAGACUGGAACUCCUGGUGUAGCGGUGAAAUGCGCAGAUAUCACGAAGAACACCGGUGGCGCGCGGGUCUCUGGGCAAUUACUGACGCUGAAGAGCGAAAGUGUGGGGAGCAAACAGGAUAGAUACCCUGGCAGUCCACACCGA